CACGUAGGGGACGAGCGUUGUCCGGAUUCAUUGGGCGUAAAGCGCGCGUAGGCGGCUCGGAAAGUCGGUCGUGAAAUGCCGGGGCUCAACCCCGGGACUGCGUCCGAUACUCCCGAGCUGGAGGCAGGUAGAGGAGUGUGGAAUUCCUGGUGGAGCGGUGAAAUGCGCAGAGAUCAGGAGGAACACCCGUAGCGAAGGCGGCACUCUGGGCCGAUACUGACACUGAGGAGCGAAAGCGUGGGGAGCGAACAGG
RNAcentral lists this ribosomal RNA (253 nucleotides) under uncultured bacterium. RNAcentral's name for it is "partial 16S ribosomal RNA". It matches the Rfam family "Bacterial small subunit ribosomal RNA", at positions 524 to 776 of the family's 1533-position model. The record is from RNAcentral.